AUGCUUGUUUGGUUUUAGGUUGGGGUGACCGCGGAGUAAAAAUUAACCUCCACGAAAAAAGGCAUAAAAGCCUUAUCAAAGAAUUACACUUCUAUGAAUUAGUAAACUAAUUUUUGAUGAUCCGAUAUUCGAUCAACGAACCAAGUUACCCUGGGGAUAACAGCGCAAUCCACCUCAAGAGCUCCUAUCGACAAGUGGGUUUACGACCUCGAUGUUGGAUCAGGGUACCCCAGUGGUGCAGCAGCUACUAAAGGUUCGUUUGUUCAACGAUUAAAACCCU
RNAcentral lists this ribosomal RNA (280 nucleotides) under Boophis majori. RNAcentral describes it as "partial 16S ribosomal RNA". It matches the Rfam family "Bacterial large subunit ribosomal RNA", at positions 2254 to 2597 of the family's 2925-position model. The record is from RNAcentral. Lineage: Eukaryota; Metazoa; Chordata; Amphibia; Anura; Mantellidae.